AACGAACGCUGGCGGCGCGCCUAAUACAUGCAAGUCGAGCGAGAAGACGUAGCAAUACGUUUGUAAAGCGGCGAACGGGUGAGGAAUACAUGGGUAACCUACCCUCGAGUGGGGAAUAACUAGCCGAAAGGUUAGCUAAUACCGCGUACGCUCCUUGGACUUCGGUCCAGGGAGGAAAGCGAUACCGUGGGUAUCGCGCUCUUGGAUGGGCUCAUGUCCUAUCAGCUUGUUGGUGAGGUAACGGCUCACCAAGGCUUCGACGGGUAGCUGGUCUGAGAGGACGAUCAGCCACACUGGCACUGCGACACGGGCCAGACUCCUACGGGAGGCAGCAGUAAGGAAUAUUGCGCAAUGGGCGAAAGCCUGACGCAGCGACGCCGCGUGGGGGAUGAAGGUCUUCGGAUUGUAAACCCCUUUCGGGAGGGAAGAUGGGAACGAGCAAUCGUUCGGACGGUACCUCCAGAAGCAGCCACGGCUAACUUCGUGCCAGCAGCCGCAGUAAU
Molecule: ribosomal RNA, 503 nt
Filed under: uncultured bacterium
Lineage: Bacteria
Description: bacterial SSU rRNA
Rfam family: Bacterial small subunit ribosomal RNA
Source: RNAcentral